Numida meleagris (helmeted guineafowl) is the source of this 4206-nucleotide long non-coding RNA. RefSeq lists it as uncharacterized. NCBI's taxonomy places the organism in Eukaryota, Metazoa, Chordata, Aves, Galliformes, Numididae. The transcript has 2 exons. The record is from RefSeq and is a predicted model, not a curated record.
AAUUGAAUUCCUGAAUGAGGAAAAAAUAGCAGCCACUGACAUUCUUUGACAUUUGCUGAAUGUUUCUGGAGACCAAGCAGUGGAUGUAAGGCGGUGGGUAGUGCAUUUUAGCAGUGGCAACAACAACAGUGGGUUACCUCCACUGCUGCAGAUUUUUAUGAGUGCGGCAUGCAGGCUCUUGUUCAUCACUGGUUAAAAUGCAUAGCUAAUAGUGGUGACUACAUUGAGGAGCAGAAUUUUGUAGCUGAGAAUUUUCUCUAUCAAAUAAUGUUAUUAUGCUUUUUGUAUCUGUUAUAGUUUCCACUGAAAUAAAUAGAAGGCAAUACUUUCAGAGUAACCUAUGUACAUAUAUUUAGCAUAAACUUUAGCCCUUUUCUGUUUCAGGAAAGGAGAUACUCAGGAAGCUAGUGAGGUUAUUUCGUAUCUUUUUCUGUGUCUUGCAGUAGUUUCACUGAUCAAUGAGAUCAAUAGGAAACUCUCAAAAGUAGCUCACUCAAAGUUAGCAAAAACCAAGAGAUUUUUUUUUAAAUUUCCAAGUAAAUAGAUUUCCAAUUAUAUAAACAAAAUUUGUUUUUAAGCAUGAUAACCACUUGAAUAAUAUUUUUGAAAAUCAUAGCGGAAAAACAAAACAUGCUUCUUAGACCGGGGUAGACAAUGCAAUUUUGAGGAAAGUUAUCCAUUUAAAGGGAAAAAAAGGUUUGGCUAGAUGAGAUUGACCGAUUCCUUUGAAUAACUGGACUAUUCCUGUCUCCAGGCACCCAGAUGAAAAACUUGCCUCAGGAACUUCUUGCCAUUGUAUCCCAGUCACAAAUGUCCUCUGUACCUGUGCUUGGCAUAGGUGGCUCUCCACCUUGGACACUGUGCUGUUUUCAUACUCUUGUGCACCCAUGAAGAGAUUAGCAGCCUUGAUUACAACGUUUAGCUUUGCAUAUUAAUUAGUAGUUCUAUACAAAGCAGUUCACAAACCGGUUUUGAGUCUCUGGAUAUUCUGCCACUGGGGCUUUUGUGAGGUUUAAUGCUUGAAGUUGUCAAACUUGGAUGGCCAGGAGUAAGCAGUGAGAGCUGGUGGCCAUGACAGCAUGCCUGGCAUGCAGCUGAAGCUAAGGAUCUCAUCCACAUUCAUCUGCCGGGCUUCUGCGUGAAUCCUGAAUUUGGGCAGCAGCCUCGAGAGGGGAACACCUCAGAAGAAAACCUCCAGCAAGUUUCUCUGCAGGAAAUCAACUGAUAUAAGCAGCCUCAAAUAAAUCUUUAUCUGUGCCAUACAGUACAGAUGCUACUCGUUUCACAUUGUUCCUAUCUUGGUGUACUCCUAGGAAUGCAGGGACAGCCAUUUACAGUGCAGGUGUCUCAUUUAGCCUAGUGCUGCUCACUGAUAUAGCUGUUUAUUAUCAAAAAUAGUAACAAUGGUACUGAUCAAAAUGAUAAACAAGUCCCUUUCCCCUUAGAAGUUGCAGUUUGUUGCUGUGCUGUAUUUUGCUGCUGGCAGCUUUUCACCAGCAUCAAGUGGUUAAUACAAACUUGUCUCCAGUAUGAUUUGCCCCUUGGUGUGUUUAAUGAAGUCUGGGUAUAUCUGAGUACUGCUUUUACCUACGUGGUGUUUUUUUGUAUAGAUACUUGGCUUUCUGCAACCUCUCAUAACUACCUGUCUUAAUUGAUAUAAUCUGUGCAAUUGCAUUUUAUUUUUGAGGAUUUAUGCUCUUUUCUGGAUUAAGUUGGCUGUACCUGAUCUUGUUUCCCUUACUAAAAUCUAUUAAGCAAUUCUGAGAUUGCUGGUGGUGGUAGCAGUGAAUGUAGCAAAUGUAAAUGCUUUCAGAUUUUCCCUUUGGGAUUGUUCAUAUUUUGACAGAGUGCAUCUUACAAACAUACAGAAGUGGGAGAACUGCUAUGGUUUUUUGUCAGUGCAUACUUCUUGCUCACCAUUUUCACUUUCACCUUCAAGUUUGUUUUUGUCUCCUUAGCUAACCUGUCAAGCUAAUUUUGUGUGAGGAUGAAGUAAUACUUUACAGGAAUCAUCAGCUCACCUUCUGAACAUAGGAAGGCAAUAUUUUACCACAAAAACUCAAGCAACAAAGUGUUCAUUAAUACAGCCAGAACAGAGAAAAUCUUUUAUAUACACUCAUAGACAUGAGCUCCUAUUACUCUGCUCUUUGGCUGGUUCCCAUUAAUGUUGGGGUCAGAAGCAGGGGUGUUGGCAAGGACGGAUAACACAUGCCAUAUUCCAUCCCUAUGGCAAUCUCUUUUGAAAAGUGGUACUGGAGAGAAUGAGGCUGUUAAGGCUCUUCCUUAGAGUAAGAUAUGUGAUGUGCAUGAUGGGGGAGGAAAAGGCAGUAAGUUUCUCUGUGAGUAUCAAUAUCAAGUCAUUCAUUUUAUUUUUCAGCUGGUACGGCCAAGAAUUAAUGUUUUGGAGAAGUCUAUGCAUAUAUUUUAUAUCCCUGGAAUGCUAUUAAGCUGUCAGAGAUAGCUACAGAAUGUCACAUAGCCUUUGUAUUUUACCCACUGGCUUAAUUUUUUUAGUAUCUUUUGUAAUCUUAAAUGUUUUUACCUGUCAUUGUUCAGACCUUUGAUUCAAAUGUUAAGAACCCAGAUACCUUGUCUUGAUCUUCUUCAAGCUCCGUUGGUUACAAAUACAUCUUGAUAUUUUCUUAGGUUUAGUUCAGCAAGGAGAGCCUUUUGAUAUUUUACUACUUUCAUCCCGUGUUAAAACAGGCAUAUCUAAGUACAUAAUUGAAAGAUCAGUUCGGCAUUAAGCUUGAAGCAAAACUUUUGGUUUCACUGUUAAAUAUGGAUUUAUACAAUCUAUAUUUUUUUCAUGGGAAAUACUUAAACACAUUAUAAAUGUGAUUUUUUUUAAGGUAAAAAUCUUGGACAUUGUCGCUGCUUUGUUCCACUGCUUAAAAAGUGAAAUAAUCACUUUAUUUCUGGUGUAAAAAAAUAUAAUUGACGAGUAAAACUAUUACAAGACAGCAGAGUUUAAGUUAGUAUCUUGCCUCUACAGAAAAGUUAAAUUCUGAUGUUAUUUAUUUCAAGGAAAAGAAGAUGUUUUCAAGCAGCGUUUUUGAAAAAAGCUUUGGGAAGGGCAUGAAAUAGCCAAUACAGUUUAUUUGUCCUCUUCAGAAUAUGAAAAAUCCUCGAAAUGUACAUGCUUAACUGCAAAUCCCAAGCACAAAAACCAGUAAGCAUACGGACUUCUUUGUUCUUUCAUUGUUUCACCUUGAAUCUCCAGAUAAGAACAAGUUGAGAGAAGACUUGGUUAGAGUGGCAGGUCUGUUGGGAUCAUAUGCAAACCUUUGGACAAGAAUCCAGAGUCCAAAGAGUUCUGCUCAUCAUCAAGCCCAGGCCAAAACUAGGGAACAUCUGUGUUUACUUUUUUCGUGCCAAUCUUCAGUAUAACUGCAAUAGUUAAGUAGGAAAAUCUCAAGCUGUGAUGCUAGCUUACUCUGCAUCUCCAGAGAAUUUUACUUCCCAUUCCCCAUAAAUCAAUUUAUAGUGACAUGUCUUGCAGAUGGUCCACCAGUGACCAAACAUUUUGUGCAGCUGUCCAUUUAUCAGGCAUUCAGGUUCUAGGGUGUAAUAUCAAAUUUUAUUUACUGGCCACUCAAUUAAUGGAAGAACUGCUUUGAUUUAUAGUUGCCUAAUUUUAUGAAGAGAGAUCAGUGCUGUUGCACUCAGACAAAAUAGCCCUUUCAUUUCAUGCUCAGGGCUCUAGCCAGGUGCCCAGCAGUGUUUCAUUCUAUGAAUUACCAGUCUGUGCCUUCUAAAACGAUUAGCAUAAUGCUGAGGAGGGACUCUGGCAAACUGAGAUGUAAGCAAAGAUAAUAGGAACAGUUAGCUGGAAGCUGCAGGAUGGAGAAAGAGUUCUUAACUGAUAUUGAUUGUUAUGGCUCAGGCAGAUGUUAAACAUGCACAACAGCCAAUUACAGCACAAUUAGAAUUAUAGAACAACCUCACAUAAUGGGAAAAUUGGUGAGGGUAAUGUGAUGAAGAAGGGAACUAUUCUCUCCUUUUAUCUUGAGAAGUGCCGCUCUUUCUGCUCUCAUGGACAGUUAAAUCAGAUCUUUUGUUUGCCUUCAGCCAAGAUGUUCCUUCUUUCUUUCCUCCCAGAAAACCCAUGCUUAAUGAGAAAAAAAAGGGUAGUAUUGUGAAUUUGGGAAGAAGUCUCAAUGGAGUAGGGAGGGGAAAUGCAAAUAAAAUCUCAACUGAUGUUAA